This is a long non-coding RNA of Dreissena polymorpha, 332 nucleotides long. RefSeq lists it as uncharacterized. The transcript has 3 exons. NCBI's taxonomy places the organism in Eukaryota, Metazoa, Mollusca, Bivalvia, Myida, Dreissenidae. The record is from RefSeq and is a predicted model, not a curated record.
GCGGCUGAAAAAUAUCUCUACCAUUAAUAACGCGCCGCCAUGAAGCUGCUUUCGUGUUUUCUGAUGUUAUUCUCAGUUGCAAUGGCACAAGAGAGCACGUGCAAACGACUAGUUUGUGUGAGGGCUCCGUGUCCAUACUACGUGUGCUUGUUUCCGCCAGGGUUGAGUUGCAGCAUAGAUAAUUUCUGGUCAGACGGGAAUCGACGUGUGCCCUGCUGGUUCGAAGUGUUGCGUACAGACCCUGAUCCUUUUCUUGCAUAGCGAAGAAAUUAUCACUGUGGAAACGUCAUACAGAUGAGCUAAAAAUGUUGGCCAUCUAAAUAAAUGGUUAA